This 388-nucleotide unclassified non-coding RNA is filed under the name uncultured bacterium. Its description in RNAcentral is "contains 16S-23S intergenic spacer region". The record is from RNAcentral.
UCCUGGUUUCCCAGGCAGUCCCAUCAGAGUGCUUUGCCUUACGGCAAGUGGCAACUGACAGUAGGGGUUGCGCUCGUUAGAGGACUUAACCCAACAUCUCACGACACGAGCUGACGACAGCCAUGCAGCACCUGUGUAACUGUCUGAACCGAAGCUCAGAAAACCAUAUCUCUAUGGCGGUCAGAAACAUGUCAAACCCAGGUAAGGUUCCUCGCGUAGUGUCGAAUUAAACCACAUGUUCCACCGCUUGUGCGGACCCCCGUCAAUUCAUUUGAGUUUCAACCUUGCGGCCGUACUUCCCAGGCGGAUCACUUAACGCGUUAGCUUCGACACUGAACCAGCAAAGCCGGUCCAACGUCUAGUGAUCAUCGUUUACAGCGUGGACUAC